AUACAUGCUUAAUUAUAUUUGAACUCUUAAGAUUGAUAAAAUGCAUUAAGUGCAGAAUUUGAAUUGCAUAAAGUAAACCCUAACUCAUCAGAACCUUGUGAGUAUUAUUUGUUUUUCGUUACUCAAAAAGGGAUUCCAAUUGAAACCUCGCUUAGGGUUUAUCGUAGGUAUUUGCAGUAUGUUCCCAAUCAUAUUGAGGAUUUUAUUCAGUUUUUGAUUAAUUCAAGUCUUUGGCAAGAGUCUGCUGAGAGGUUGGUCGGUUGUGGACUUUGCUUGCUGAGUAUUAUAUUAGGAAGGGUUAGCACGAGAAGGCUAGAGAUGUGUUUGAGGAGGGUAUGUCGACUGUUAUUACUGUGAGGGAUUUUAGUGUUAUAUUUGAUUCGUACUUGCAAUUUGAAGAGAGUAUGCUUGCUUAUAAGAUGGAGGAUAUGGAUAUGAGUGACGAAGAAGAUGAAGACCUCAUACUUUAUGGGUGGCUUUUGCAAAGCUUUACGAGGAGCACACCGAUCUUGCCAAUGCUCGAGUUAUUUUUGACAAGGCAGUGCAGGUGAACUACAAAACUGUGGACAAUCUGGCUAGUGUUUGGUGUGAGUGGGCUGAACUAGAGUUGAAACAUGAGAAUUUCAAAGGAGCACUUGAGCUAAAGAGGCGGGCUACCGCAGAGCCAUCAGUUGAGGUCAAACGAAAAGUGGCUGCUGAUGGGAAUCAACCAGUUCAGAUGAAGCUGCAUAAAUAUUUGAGAUUGUGGACCUUUUAUGUUGAUUUGGAGGAAAGUCUAGGUAGUUUGGAGUCUACUCGUUUAUAAAAUUCCAUUGUGUUAUAUCCGCCAAAAAGUUAUUGAUCUUAAUCUUUCCCUUCUUUUUUUUUUUUUUUUUAUAAUUUAUUUUCUGUUCAUUUAAUUGUUUUAUUAAGUUGGUUUCCUGAUUUUGAACUCUUAAGAUUGAUAAAAUGUAUUAAGUGCAGAAUUUGAAUUGCAUAAAGUAAAGUAAUCCAUGUCUGAUCCAUUCUACAUCUCUUGAGUUGAGUUGAGAUCUAAGUGCUUCAAGUUGUAUUAUCUCACUACUGAGUGUUAUCCCUCUUUUGUUAUUGUGAGGAAGUCAAAUUUGACUUAAAGAGUGUAUAACUUGGUGUUUUGACUUUGAUGUUAUCAUACUAACCUUAUUGCAUAGCUGAAACUGCAGUCCUUAGUUAACGCAUGCACUGAAUGCAGCAUAUGUGUUAUUGUUGAAAAGAGAAGAUUGGCCUCCCAAAGUUUUAUUUGGCAGUCUCUCCUUCCCCCGUUAACAGAUCCUGAGCUCGGUGCUGGCAAACCAAAUUCCUCAUUUUUUUUAGCUCAAAUGCAUUUUCUAUUCCUACAUUCUUACAUCUGAAUCUGUCCAGUCAUAUUUUCUUUUUUCUUUUUCUACAGUGUUGUUCUAAAGAUCUGCAAAAUUAAGGCACUCAUUGGCAACUGCUAUGUUCCUACAAACCCUCAAGUUGAACCAUCGAGGUAGAAGAUAAUCCUUUGUUUUUUGAUCCAUUACUAUUGCAGCUCCAUCUGCAGUGCAAUAUUGUGAGAUCAAUUCACCCCCUCUUGAGUUGCUUAGCCGUUUCGGGUAACCAAUCCAUCUAAUGUAUUGAGUCUCAACUCCAAAGCUCUCAACAUAAAUGAAGUCAUGAACCAGAAAACAUGAACAAACUCAGCCAAUCAUUAAAGUCUGGAUUUGGAUUACUUGCGGCCAAGAUUCGCCAUAUUCUAGCAUGCAGAACAUUGGUGACUGUUGGAUCAAGAUUUGACGGUCUACAAAAGGAAAUUUUUCACACCAAGUUUAACUCAAGGAGAAGAGAGCCAGUUUUUGAUACUGACAAAACGUUGGACAUCAAGAGAUAUUCCCAUUUAGGGUUGUCUUAAAUGCUCAAUAAUGAACGUAUAGUUAUUUAUGUUGAUCAAUUUUUCAUAAAACUAAAAUCGUUCUUACAACAAAAAUUAGAUGUAGGUACCAAUUCUCAUCCUAUCUACACAGUCCAUAAAUUUUGAUGGUGGUGUGGCUUUAGUCGAUGGGUUAACAAUCAUCAAUUCAAAAU
Medicago truncatula (barrel medic) is the source of this 2064-nucleotide long non-coding RNA. RefSeq lists it as uncharacterized. The record is from RefSeq and is a predicted model, not a curated record. The transcript has 3 exons. Lineage: Eukaryota; Viridiplantae; Streptophyta; Magnoliopsida; Fabales; Fabaceae.